This 419-nucleotide ribosomal RNA is filed under the name uncultured rumen bacterium. Its description in RNAcentral is "bacterial SSU rRNA". It matches the Rfam family "Bacterial small subunit ribosomal RNA", at positions 354 to 776 of the family's 1533-position model. The record is from RNAcentral.
GUGGGGGAUAUUGCACAAUGGAGGAAACUCUGAUGCAGCGACGCCGCGUGAGUGAAGAAGUAUUUCGGUAUGUAAAGCUCUAUCAGCAGGGAAGAAAGACUCGCAAGAGAGAUGACGGUACCUGACUAAGAAGCCCCGGCUAACUACGUGCCAGCAGCCGCGGUAAUACGUAGGGGGCAAGCGUUAUCCGGAUUUACUGGGUGUAAAGGGAGCGCAGACGGUUAUGUAAGUCUGAAGUGAAACCCCACGGCUCAACCGUGGGCUUGCUUUGGAAACUAUAUAACUAGAGUACUGGAGAGGUAAGCGGAAUUCCUAGUGUAGCGGUGAAAUGCGUAGAUAUUAGGAGGAACAUCGGUGGCGAAGGCGGCUUACUGGACAGCAACUGACGUUGAGGCUCGAAGGCGUGGGGAGCAAACAGG